This 550-nucleotide ribosomal RNA is filed under the name uncultured bacterium. RNAcentral describes it as "bacterial SSU rRNA". It matches the Rfam family "Bacterial small subunit ribosomal RNA", at positions 355 to 896 of the family's 1533-position model. The record is from RNAcentral.
UAGGGAAUCUUCGGCAAUGGACGGAAGUCUGACCGAGCAACGCCGCGUGAGUGAAGAAGGUUUUCGGAUCGUAAAGCUCUGUUGUAAGAGAAGAACGAGUGUGAGAGUGGAAAGUUCACACUGUGACGGUAUCUUACCAGGAAGGGACGGCUAACUACGUGCCAGCAGCCGCGGUAAUACGUAGGUCCCGAGCGUUGUCCGGAUUUAUUGGGCGUAAAGCGAGCGCAGGCGGUUAGAUAAGUCUGAAGUUAAAGGCUGUGGCUUAACCAUAGUAGGCUUUGGAAACUGUUUAACUUGAGUGCAAGAGGGGAGAGUGGAAUUCCAUGUGUAGCGGUGAAAUGCGUAGAUAUAUGGAGGAACACCGGUGGCGAAAGCGGCUCUCUGGCUUGUAACUGACGCUGAGGCUCGAAAGCGUGGGGAGCAAACAGGAUUAGAUACCCUGGUAGUCCACGCUGUAAACGAUGAGUGCUAGGUGUUAGACCCUUUCCGGGGUUUAGUGCCGUAGCUAACGCAUUAAGCACUCCGCCUGGGGAGUACGACCGCAAGGUUG